Molecule: long non-coding RNA, 224 nt
Filed under: Elaeis guineensis (African oil palm)
Lineage: Eukaryota; Viridiplantae; Streptophyta; Magnoliopsida; Arecales; Arecaceae
Description: long non-coding RNA (EGUI_LNC073995)
Source: RNAcentral
GAUCGCAGCAAUGCCUGAGGUUCUAAAAUAGCCACACAGUCAUCUGGCCUCUAUCAAUAUCCACUCAAAUAGGAUCUAGAUCAUAUUCUCCUCACAAAUCUUUGCUCCAAAAAUUAGAUCUGGAUCUGAUCUGGAAGUUCUUCAAAAGAGCUUCUGAAGCUGGAGCAGCAGUUUCUCGACAGAUUGCUGCAGCCUCCUGAUCAAGGAGCCACCAUGCCUUGGAC